ACUGCUCUAAUACUAAUUAUUACGAAUCCACAAGUUACAACUCACUCUUAAAUGGGUUGUAAGAGGAGGAUGCCUUAGUGUUAAUAAAUUACAAAUUAAUCCCAUAUCUAGUUGAUAUGGGAUCUAACAUUCUUUUUUUUUUUUAAUACUGAUUAAUCAUCAGAUUACUGCAUUACACAGAUAUUUACAACAACUGCUAUUGUAGCAGAGAUAUUACACUGAUAUUUACAAUCAGAUAUACAUGAUUGGGACUUACAUUAUUACAUUGAAUUCUAUGAAGUACAUGCCCAGACAAAUAACCCCUCAUAGGAGAGGGAUAUCCAUACUCCACUUGUAUUUCGCAAGGGAGAAGGAUUUUUAAAUAUAAAGAACAUUUAACCCCCACAAUGCUUUUGUGGGGGCUAGAACCGCUGCCCUCACAAGCAUUGUGAGGACAGCAGCCCACCACUUCGGCCAAGGCCGAAGUGG
Molecule: long non-coding RNA, 468 nt
Filed under: Citrus sinensis (sweet orange)
Lineage: Eukaryota; Viridiplantae; Streptophyta; Magnoliopsida; Sapindales; Rutaceae
Description: long non-coding RNA (CSIN_LNC002113)
Source: RNAcentral